AUUGAACGCUGGCGGCAUGCCUUACACAUGCAAGUCGAACGGCAGCACGGGAGCAAUCCUGGUGGCGAGUGGCGAACGGGUGAGUAACAUAUCGGAACGUGCCCGGUAGUGGGGGAUAACCCGGCGAAAGUCGGACUAAUACCGCAUACGACCUACGGGUGAAAGCGGGGGAUCGCAAGACCUCGCGCUAUUGGAGCGGCCGAUAUCAGAUUAGCUAGUUGGUGGGGUAAAGGCCUACCAAGGCGACGAUCUGUAGCUGGUCUGAGAGGACGACCAGCCACACUGGGACUGAGACACGGCCCAGACUCCUACGGGAGGCAGCAGUGGGGAAUUUUGGACAAUGGGCGCAAGCCUGAUCCAGCCAUGCCGCGUGCGGGAAGAAGGCCU
This 387-nucleotide ribosomal RNA is filed under the name uncultured bacterium. Its description in RNAcentral is "bacterial SSU rRNA". It matches the Rfam family "Bacterial small subunit ribosomal RNA", at positions 29 to 417 of the family's 1533-position model. The record is from RNAcentral.